RNAcentral lists this ribosomal RNA (253 nucleotides) under uncultured bacterium. RNAcentral describes it as "partial 16S ribosomal RNA". It matches the Rfam family "Bacterial small subunit ribosomal RNA", at positions 524 to 776 of the family's 1533-position model. The record is from RNAcentral.
UACAGAGGGGGCAAGCGUUAUUCGGAAUUAUUGGGCGUAAAGGGCGCGUAGGCGGCUUCGCAAGUGACGGGUGAAAUCCCUCGGCUUAACCGAGGAACUGCCUGUCAGACUGCAUGGCUUGAGACCAGGAGAGGUGAGUGGAAUUCCCAGUGUAGCGGUGAAAUGCGUAGAUAUUGGGAGGAACACCAGUGGCGAAGGCGGCUCACUGGACUGGUACUGACGCUGAGGCGCGAAAGCGUGGGGAGCGAACAGG